Long non-coding RNA from Meriones unguiculatus (Mongolian gerbil), 1436 nucleotides. RefSeq lists it as uncharacterized. The transcript is spliced from 3 exons. The record is from RefSeq and is a predicted model, not a curated record. NCBI's taxonomy places the organism in Eukaryota, Metazoa, Chordata, Mammalia, Rodentia, Muridae.
GGGAACUUUGGACCAAACUGAAAUGCCAAUUUGUGUCAUUGUAAGGAUAUGACUGGUAUUUUUCAUGCUUUCGGACGUCGUUUAAAUAUUCUGGGUGGUCAGCUCGUGAUAUGUUUCCAGUCACAUGUAAGGUGAAUCUUCCAGCUUCAAUUAACCCAACUUGGAAACUCCCUCAUAUGUAUACUCAGCACUCCAAAACUGCAAGAACCAUUUGUUAGUGGUUGGAUAAACCAUUGUGCCACCAGCCUGCCAGCUGAGACAAGAAUUUGCAACCAGUGCUACAAGUCCACUUUCAAGAGCCUAAAAACACAUGACAGGGGAAGCUGCUGGGCAUCAUUAACGAUGAAACAUUCCUGUGGUUCAUUUGAAGGCAAAUCUGUAGUAGUCAGCAGAGGAUCUACGUGACCACAUCUGAGGCUUGGAAUUUUUAAGUUCCUGCAUGCAGUGAGACACUGGGAGCCAUGGCAAUGCAGAUGCGUGGAAGAUGGUGGCAGCUUCCUUUCCAUAUGGGGUUUUACAGCAUCUCAGCUCACAGUUGCAUUUUAAAGAAAAUAGAAAUAAUAAUUUAAAAAAAAUUAGUCCACAGUCUUGUGAGGUUUAGGCUAAGCCAUGGAAGCCAAAGUAUUGCUUAGAAAUAAAUUAAAUACAGAAGAAAACAGAAUCCAAACCUCAACUAGAUAGACCCAAGGGAAGCCUCUCUUUUUAAUGAAUUCUGGGCUAAAUGUGACUUGCCCAAGAGCAACUAGGUAAUGAUACCAGGCUCUAGUACAAGCACCACUGUAUAUCCUUUGGAUUUCCUUGACCAUGCUAAAUUCAACUGCAACUCUCCUACAGUUUAAUAAUUUAUUUACCUCCAUUAUUUUAACUACAGACUAUUUACACUCAUACAUUUUCUAUAUUUAUUUUUGUUAAAAACUGAGCUAUAAAUAUCUCUGGCUAAAAUGUUCAAUUCCCAUUCAAAAAGGCAAAAAGGAUGGUCAUCAGAAAAAAGAGAAAACAGGGAAUAAGACAGGAGCCUACCAUAGUGGGCCUCUGAAAGGCUCUGCCCUGCAGACUAUCAAUGCAGAUGCUGAUACUUAUGGCCAACCUUUGGGCAGAGUUCAGGGAACUUUAUGAAAGAAAUGAGAAAUAGUAAGACCUGGAGAGUACAGGAGAGCUCUCCACAAGGAGAGCAACAGAACCAAAAUAUCUGGGCACAGGGGUCUUUUCUGAGACUGAUACUCCAACCAAGGACCAUUCAUGGAGAUAACCUAGAAACCCUGCACAGAUGUAGCCCAUGGCAGUUCAGUGUCCAAGUGGGUUCCAUAGUCAUAGAAACAGGGACUGCCUCUGACAUGAACUGAUUGGCCUGUUCUUUGAUCACCAGCUCCUGAGGGGUGAGCAGCCUUAUCAGUCCACAGAGAAAGAAAAUGUAGCCACUCCUGAUGAGACCUGAU